CCAGACUCCUACGGGAGGCAGCAGUAGGGAAUUUUGCGCAAUGGGCGAAAGCCUGACGCAGCAACGCCGCGUGAUUGAUUAAGCCCUUCGGGGUGUAAAGAUCUGUCAGUGGGGACGAAACUUGACGGUACCCACAGAGGAAGCACCGGCUAACUCCGUGCCAGCAGCCGCGGUAAUACGGAGGGUGCAAGCGUUGUCCGGAAUCAUUGGGCGUAAAGAGUUCGUAGGUGGCAUAUUAAGUCUGGUGUUAAAUGCAGAAGCUCAACUUCUGUUCGGCACUGGAUACUGGUAAGCUUGAAUGCGGUAGAGGUAAAGGGAAUUCCUGGUGUAGCGGUGAAAUGCGUAGAUAUCACGCAGAACUCCGAUUGCGAAGGCAGCAUACCGGCGCCCGACUGACGCUGAGGCACGAAAGCGUGGGUAUCGAACAGGAUUAGAUACCCCAGUA
This 445-nucleotide ribosomal RNA is filed under the name uncultured bacterium. RNAcentral describes it as "bacterial SSU rRNA". It matches the Rfam family "Bacterial small subunit ribosomal RNA", at positions 331 to 792 of the family's 1533-position model. The record is from RNAcentral.